AGGCGCUGCGGGAGCGGAACGCGGCGAUGCGGAGGUGGGCGGUGGAGCUGGAGAAGUGGGCCGAGGAGCAGCGGAACUUGGAGCUGGAGCUCCGCCUCUUGAUCGAGCUUCGGGAUUUGCAAUCCUCCUCUACGAUUUCGUCUCCAGUUCAAUCUCUGAGAGAAAAGGAACAGCAAAGAAGUAUGGAGGUGAAGCUGCAGGUAUGUGCGCCCAAUUGCAUACUUUCAGAUCACUUCUAGCUUUAAUCUGUUGAUAGGUUGAGUUGAUAUAUUGACAAUGUAAAACUAAAAGAACCGAGGGAAUGGUUAUAGAAUUGUUCUGCUAUUGCUGAGUUCUUAUUCCUGCUGUUCCACAAAAAAAUUCGGUUGUAGAUAUCACCAGUUCAACCCCUAAGAGAGAAAGAAAAGCAAAAAAUUGUGGAAGUGCAGUUGCAGGGACCCAAAAUUGCAGAACAAAAUAGUGAAGUUGGAAUGCCAUCUUCAAUCGAGGAAAAUGAGACAGAGAAGUAGUGUUUCUUCUCCACUUCAAUCUCUCUAUCUCUCUCUUGUUUUGUCACAUGUAAUUUGUGCCUUGAAAUGAAGAAAGUCAAAUUGCUCGUUU
Molecule: non-coding RNA, 600 nt
Organism: Musa acuminata subsp. malaccensis (wild Malaysian banana)
Lineage: Eukaryota; Viridiplantae; Streptophyta; Magnoliopsida; Zingiberales; Musaceae
Source: RefSeq, a predicted model, not a curated record